UCCAGAGACUUCAGAUGACAAACAUUCCAAGCUAAUUGGUCGAAGAGAGAUCAUACUUAGGAGCAGUGAAUUAGCUAUGAUCGGAGCUAUAUUCCAGCUCGGAGUG
Molecule: non-coding RNA, 106 nt
Organism: Camelina sativa (false flax)
Lineage: Eukaryota; Viridiplantae; Streptophyta; Magnoliopsida; Brassicales; Brassicaceae
Source: RefSeq, a predicted model, not a curated record